Molecule: small nuclear RNA, 128 nt
Organism: Aotus nancymaae (Ma's night monkey)
Lineage: Eukaryota; Metazoa; Chordata; Mammalia; Primates; Aotidae
Source: Ensembl
ACCAUCAUUUCCUGGGGCUUGUGCAACUGUCCAAUGAGUGCGUAGUGAGCGCUGUACUGCUAAUGCCUACACAACAUGCCUGCAUCAACUAGAGCUUUGCUUUACCUUGGUGUAAUGAUUUUGAAAAA